CCUACGGGGGGCUGCAGUGAGGAAUAUUGGUCAAUGGACGAGAGUCUGAACCAGCCAAGUAGCGUGAAGGAUGACUGCCCUAUGGUUUGUAAACUUCUUUUAUAUGGGAAUAAAAUGUUCCACGUGUGGGAUUUUGUAUGUACCAUAUGAAUAAGGAUCGGCUAACUCCGUGCCAGCAGCCGCGGUAAGACGGAGGAUCCGAGCGUUGUCCGGAUUUAUUGGGUUUAAAGGGAGCGUAGGUGGAUUGUUAAGUCAGUUGUGAAAGUUUGCGGCUCAACCGUAAAAUUGCAGUUGAAACUGUCAGACUUGAGUACAAGAGAGGAGGGCAGAAUUCGUGGUGUAGCGGUGAAAUGCUUAGAUAUCACGAAGAACACCGAUAGCGAAGGCAGCUAACUGGCCUGAAACUGACACUGAGGCUCGAAAGUAUGGGUAUCAAACAGGAUUAGAUACCCUUGUAGUC
RNAcentral lists this ribosomal RNA (460 nucleotides) under uncultured bacterium. Its description in RNAcentral is "partial 16S ribosomal RNA". It matches the Rfam family "Bacterial small subunit ribosomal RNA", at positions 338 to 795 of the family's 1533-position model. The record is from RNAcentral.